UAAGGAAUAUUGGUCAAUGGACGCAAGUCUGAACCAGCCAUGCCGCGUGGAGGAUGAAGGUCCUCUGGAUUGUAAACUUCUUUUAUCUGGGAAGAAAUCUACCUCUUCUUGGGUAGUUGACGGUACCAGAUGAAUAAGCACCGGCUAACUCCGUGCCAGCAGCCGCGGUAAUACGGAGGGUGCAAGCGUUAUCCGGAUUCACUGGGUUUAAAGGGUGCGUAGGUGGGCAAGUAAGUCAGUGGUGAAAUCUCCGGGCUUAACCCGGAAACUGCCAUUGAUACUAUUUGUCUUGAAUACUGUGGAGGUCAGCGGAAUAUGUCAUGUAGCGGUGAAAUGCUUAGAUAUGACAUAGAACACCAAUUGCGUAGGCAGCUGGCUACACAAAUAUUGACACUGAGGCACGAAAGCGUGGGGAUCAAACAGGAUUAGAUACCCUGGUAGUCCACGCCCUAAACUAUGGAUACUCGACAUUUGCGAUAAACUGCAAGUGUCUGAGCGAAAGCAUUAAGUAUCCCACCUGGGAAGUACGACCGCAAGGUUGC
Molecule: ribosomal RNA, 542 nt
Filed under: uncultured Chitinophagaceae bacterium
Lineage: Bacteria; Pseudomonadati; Bacteroidota; Chitinophagia; Chitinophagales; Chitinophagaceae
Description: bacterial SSU rRNA
Rfam family: Bacterial small subunit ribosomal RNA
Source: RNAcentral